RNAcentral lists this long non-coding RNA (4224 nucleotides) under Homo sapiens (human). Its description in RNAcentral is "HSALNT0306744". The record is from RNAcentral. Lineage: Eukaryota; Metazoa; Chordata; Mammalia; Primates; Hominidae.
UCCAGCCUGGGCGACAGAGCGAGACUCCAUCUCAAAAAGGGAAAAAAAUGUAUAUUCUGUUAUUAUUGGGUGUAGAGUUAUAUUUAUACAAUUAGGUUAUAUGUGUUAAAGAUGUUUGGAUUUCCUAAAUCUCUACUAAAUAUUUUUUCUUGUUCUGUUAUUAGGAGAAAUGUAAAAUUUUUCUCUAUGAAUUUGGAUUUGUCUAUUUCUCCUAUUAAUUCGAUUACUUUUCCCCUUUUUCAAGUUUAUUAGGAAUACAGAAAUUUAAACUUGUUUGACCUUACUAGAUGAUUGGCCUUUUAUCACUUUAAAAUUUCCUAUUUAUUUCUAAUAAUGCUAUCUUUAAGUCUACCGUUAUUUUUAACCUCCUUGUGUCCUUAUAUUAAAGGUGUGUCGAUUGCAAGCAUAUACUUACACUAUAUAGGAGUAUAUAAUUAUACCAUAUAGAUUAUAUAUAGUAUAUAUAUAUAUAUACAUACACACACAAGGAGUAUAUAAUUAUACUAUAUAGUCUAUCUUUUUAUUACUUAGCCUAGUUAUGUUUAGUAUAAUUAUUAAUCUGUUGGAGUUUAUGUUUACCAUCUUAUUGUUUUCUAUUUGAACCAUCUCUCAGUUUUAUGGAAAGAGGCCUAUGCACACAUAUUCACUUAGUAUCUCUCACUAAUACUUUAGCCACUUCCUCACAGAAGCCCACCCAACCUCAAGUCUAGAUACGAUUCCUUUUUGUAGUCAUUUUUGUAGUAUCGUCUUCUUUUUCCUAAGAGCACGUCGCUCAGUUAUUUUGUGUGAAUAUUUAAUUAAUGUCUGUUUCUUCUUUUAGACUAUAAUUCGAUGAUGGUAGGACUUUUUUUAUUAUAAAUAAAUAUUUGUAGCAUUAAAUUAAUAUGUAAAUUCUGUAACUAAUUCUACCUUUCUUUACAAUCAAAGGUUAAAUACAAACAACUUUCAUAAAUAAUCUACCCAUUUCCUUUAUGUAGAAGCGCAUCAUCUCACUGAGGAACCACUAUUAUAUUGAGUCUAAAUUGUCCUACCAUUGAUCAUGUCAAGCCCUCUCUUCAGGGACUUUGAGAGGCUUUGCAGUUUCCUGCAAUAGUGGGCUCAUUUCAUCACAUUUCCUGAGACAACCCUGUUUCUUGCACAUCCACAGGGAGGGUGAAUAGGACUGACCCAGUGCUCAUUUAUUGCAAAUAUUUUCCAGAUUAUUUGGUGCAAAUUCCUCUUCUACAAUAUUCCAUUGUCAUUUUUAAGUGAACUCGUCAAAGCUAAGGGCUCUGACUCAUGAAUGUUCACUUUCUUCCUGGAUUAAGUAGGCAGUCACAGUAAAAAAUGUCUGAUGACUCAAAGUUUCUAUGAGUGUAUUCAAGAUUUUUUCUCUUUUGAAAAAUCACUCUGAGUACAAGCGGAAGAAAUAAUGAUGUGCUAUGUGUCCUUCCUGACAUCCCUACGUAAACGGUACACUCUUCAGGACUUUUAUUCUUUCAGAAAUAUUCCAGCUUUUCAAGGUCCUUUGAUCCAUGUUUUAAUUAAAGGAAAAAAUUAUUUCUUUUUAUGCAUGUACUUUAAGAAAGUUUAUACCAAUAAUUCAAAUUAAGCAGAAUAAGUACCAUGAAAAUUAGAGAAAAUCAAAUCAGGCGAAUAAACCUAUUGCAAAUUACCUGGAGGCUUGACUUGUCCUUGGGUCAAGUUGCAUUGUAUUAGAAUAAAUAUAAUCUGCUGAGUGUAAAUGAAAACUCAGGGAAUAGGGCAGCCUUAUACAAAUAUCAACAGAUAUCUUACUCUGCUCACUACAGUCAACAGAUUAAAAAAUAGAUCUUUAUGGCACCAGGAGCUUAAAAUUUGUGAAAUAAAUGUUUAGAAAAUUUCAUUAUCUAACUCCUCGAAGAAAGCCCUUCUGCUGUAUUUCAACUAGAUACUGGACAUCACAGCUUCUGGAGUCUAUAGGAUUUGUCCAUGCCAAAAAUAUUUAUGAUUUACUUUUCCUCUGAAAGGCUAUUGUUGCCAUAUUGUUGCACAAUGGCUUUCUGAGACCAAUCAACUUUCUCUAGGGCCCAGGAAGAGUAAAAUCAAUAGUACACCCCUCAAUCAUUAUCUCAACUGAUUUUUGAUGGUACUUCUUCACUAUACAGCAACCAUUCUAUUCCUGUGGUAACAAGUUUUUAUAUUAACACAUUGAACACAUUAGUUUCUUAUCACAAACCCCUCCAACCCACAAUAAACUAGGAUUUUGAUUUUCACAUAACAGAACACAUUUGCUCAUUAAAGAUGGAGCAAGGGCUCGGGGGAGAGAGAGAGAGAGAGAGUGAGAGAGAGUGAGAGAUUGAGAUUUUUCCCAAAGACAAUUUAGUUCUUUUUCAAAAAGUAAACUACGGACUCCCACUCCUGUCCAUGACAGAAUGAAUCUGACUAGACUUGCUCUCCCAUAGUAAACAAGUAGGAAACCAAACAAAAUAUAUAAAACAAACAAUUGUUUUCAGAGACUGGACAACAGACAGUACAGGUGUGUGAUUCUGAGGUAAGGGAAGCAAAUGAUAUGAUCCCUAAAAUAACCUUGGCUUUCUACCUGGAGACAUUUUCCAGACCACAAUAAGGAAAAGAAAUCCCAAGCAGAGAAUGGUACUAUCUCUGAAUUAGGGAAAUCGUUUCUGAGUUUGGAGAGGCUGAGACUACUAGAAUUUGGGGGCAGAGUAAAAAAGGACAGAGCUACGCAGAGAAAAAGCUCCAUAAAUCUGCACCAGCGUGCCUAUGAGUCUUUGUACAUUUAUAGGGUAAGGCUCUAUAAGGAGGCUAAGCAGAAAAUAAUCACAAUGGAAAGAAUGACUAAUAAGGAGAUAUUCAUUCUAGAAUUCUGAGAGCUAGAAGACAUAUGAGUUUUGACUAAUAGGAAUGGCGAUACUCGAACUCCUGGGGUAUUCAAUGGAAGCUUCAAAAAGAUACUGACAGCUAUUCAACAAAUAAAGAAAAAGAGGCAUAGAAAAUUUGGAUAACUUACUAAAGUCAUUGAGACAACAGACAGCCAAGGCAUUGGCACAGUCUUUGGACAUGAAAAUCAUGGAGAAGGAAGAGGCUGAUUGUUAUCCAUGAUUAGGCAGUGCAGAUAUAGCUCAAUAUUCCAAAUGGGAUGUUUUGGCCUUGGAGUUAAGUUCCAAGAGCAUUAUAAAAUAAUCACCUGUAUAGGAAGUCCUGACUUAACUCUAUUAACAACUUCGAAAGUCACAUACCUGAAGAUGAUCCUGCAUGUCCAUAGAGCCUAGGUCCCUCAAAAGAUGGUGUUGCAAUGACAGAAAUUGAGACAUCAAGAGAACGUUUAGCAGAAUAAGUUAGUUAAGAUGUAGGUGUGUCGAAAGUUUCAGGUGUCAGUAAACAUCAAAAGAAAAUGUAGCAGUAGCUAGAAAUUUCCAGGCUGAAGAUGAAGGUUAAAGCUAAAGAUAGACUAUUUUUGUCAUCUACAUGGAAGAUGAUGGCUAAAGCUAUAAGAGUGAAUGACAUCAGCAAGGAAGAAAAUACAGGAAUAAGGAAGAAGAGAUGGUGAAAUGGCUACUCGUAAGGAGUGGGAGAAAGAAUAAAUGAGAAGAAAAUGAAGAAUGUGUGGCCAAGAACAUAGGAGAAAAGCCAGGAAGAUCAAUGUCUUAUCAACAGACAGAUUUGAGCAGCAGGUACUCAACAGAGCUUAAGAAAAACAAAUAUUGAGAACAGAGUAAGGACUAUUUCAUUUGGUGAACAGGAGAUUUCUAUUGAACUAGAAUAGCUAGGUAACUACAUUUUCAUGGGUUAAGAAGAGAAGAGGAGAAAGAACAGUGAGGAAGAGAACCCAUUGUAUUAUUGAGGAAUUUUGAAGUCAAAUAAAAAAGAGAUGUGAGUGGAAUGACAUAAUUCUAGAGAUAAGUGAAGCUGGAGAAUGUUACAUGCUUGGAAGGAAGGAGUGAGUCUUAGAAAUUAAGGGAGCAAGUUCCUUCAAGACAGAUGAAACGUAAUGAGCAACAGAAUGAACUAGAUAUGAUAAUGAUGCAAAACUCUUCUUUGUUACAUACAGGCUGGGAGAAGGGUCCACACAAAAAUUCUGAGAUGGAGAUGAUGGCUAAAGUUAGAGUUCACAUUGGAUGACUUUGAACUCAGUAAACUAGGUGAAUUUGCCAGAAGAUAUGAAGCUGUGGGAACUUGGAAGCCCAGGACACUAUGAUAUUGAUUACAGGGAAAUAGUUCAAAAAUAUCACAAGAUUACAAGCA